CAGUCGCCGCGGGAAUACGAAGGGGGCUAGCGUUGCUCGGAAUGACUGGGCGUAAAGGGCGCGUAGGCGGCGAUCAAAGUCAGGCGUGAAAUUCCUGGGCUCAACCUGGGGGCUGCGCUUGAUACUUGGUUGCUUGAGUGGGGAAGAGGGUCGUGGAAUUCCCAGUGUAGAGGUGAAAUUCGUAGAUAUUAGGAAGAGCACCGGUGGCGAAGGCGGCGACCUGGUCCUUGACUGACGCUGAGGCGCGAAAGCGUGGGGAGCAAACAGGAUUAGAUACCCCUGUAGUCCCUGUCUCUUAUAU
This 301-nucleotide ribosomal RNA is filed under the name uncultured bacterium. Its description in RNAcentral is "partial 16S ribosomal RNA". It matches the Rfam family "Bacterial small subunit ribosomal RNA", at positions 509 to 809 of the family's 1533-position model. The record is from RNAcentral.